GUAGGGAAUAUUGGGCAAUGGAUGCAAGUCUGACCCAGCCAUCCCGCGUGCCGGAAGAAGGCCCUCAGGGUUGUAAACGGCUUUUGACGGUGAAGAAUCGACAGGAUGCGUCCUGUUUUGACGGUAGCCGUUGAAUAAGCACCGGCUAACUCCGUGCCAGCAGCCGCGGUAAUACGGAGGGUGCGAGCGUUGUCCGGAUUUAUUGGGUUUAAAGGGUGCGUAGGCUGGAAGGUCAGUAAGCGGUGAAAAGCUGUCGCUUAACGAUAGUCUUGCCGCAGAUACUUCCUUUCUUGGAUGAGGAGGAGGCCACUGGAACGGAUGGUGUAGCGGUGAAAUGCAUAGAUAUCAUCCAGAACACCGAUUGCGAAGGCAGGUGGCUGUACCUUAAUCGACGCUGAUGCACGAAAGCAUGGGGAGCAAACAGGAUUAGAUACCCGGGUAGUCC
Molecule: ribosomal RNA, 445 nt
Filed under: uncultured bacterium
Lineage: Bacteria
Description: partial 16S ribosomal RNA
Rfam family: Bacterial small subunit ribosomal RNA
Source: RNAcentral